Long non-coding RNA from Helianthus annuus (common sunflower), 5643 nucleotides. RefSeq lists it as uncharacterized. The transcript is spliced from 3 exons. Lineage: Eukaryota; Viridiplantae; Streptophyta; Magnoliopsida; Asterales; Asteraceae. The record is from RefSeq and is a predicted model, not a curated record.
UACGAGAUAAAAUGUGACAAAUAUGUUAAUUAACUUGGUCACAAUACAAAUUAGAUAAUAGUAGUAAAGUUUGUGACUAAGCAAUUACCACACUAAACUCAAGGGACUAAAGGUGACAGGUUAAGAAAGCUAGAUGAAUAAAAAUGGAAUAAGAAUUAAAACACACACACAUCAGGUGUGUGUGUGUGUGUUCGACGCCCAGAGCCAGAGAAGAAGGGGAAACCCUUCUAACCACAAAAAUCCAGCCAAUUGAAGCCCUAAUCGUGACUGAAUCUCAUGCAUGUCAAUGAUUUCUUGAUCAGCUAGGCCUAUUAAAGCUUAAGGAUGAAUAACAUAUUUACGGACUCAAGCACGGAGGCUAACGGGUCAAAAGUAAACAUGGAACCUAUGCUUGAACUUGGUCGCUCAAGGUAAGUGAUUCCGUAAUCACUUCUUAGUUGUUUAUGUAAUGUUAUAUGCAAUUUAGUUAUAUGUGAUAAUUGAGGUCGAAUAGGAAUGACUUGUAUGAUGUCAAUGAAGUAUUAAACGGAUUUUAGUUUUGAUCCGAGCAAGGUAGGUGUGAUUAAGAAAUUGUAGCUAAGUAGUGGAAUUGGUUACUUAUGUAAGGAAUUCCUUUGUUAUUAAGGAUAGAGCUAAGUUGACUAAAAUGCCCUUGAUAGGUAUUUCGGCCAAACGACCUUAGAAGUCAUUUGGAAACGAGCUAUUCGAUUAGAGUAAUGUCUUGGACAAGUAUGAAAGCGAAGUAUAGGGUUUGGUAUGUCAUAGUCCACUUAAUGCGCAAAUACCCAUAACGGGUCAAAAAUAAGCCUUUGAGCGAAAAUGGGUUAAGAGGAUGCAAGACGUCCGAGAAUUUAAUCUUUUAUGAUAGGUGCAAUGAAAUUAUUAAGUUCAUAUGACAUUGGGGUCCAAUAAACAGAUUAUGUUGAUAAAUGCACGAACGGGUCAAAUAAUUAGAAAAUGAUUAAUAAGCCGAAUGCGCGUAAGAUAGGAAUUUCCUUAAAUCGGUUAUGGGAUUCCAAGUCCAUAUGAUAGAAUGUGAAUUUACAAGUAUGUAGGAAGAAACGGGAGGUUAAACGGGUAAACGGUUUGAAAGUUACGACCGUUUUCGUAAAAAGGACAAAGUUGGAAAAGCUGAAGAGCAGCCAAAUCGUAAGCUACAGUUCAGUCGUAGGCUACAGAACGUAGCUGCUGUUUGGAUCAGAGCAGCCAAAUCGUAAGCUACAGUUCAGUCGUAGGCUACAGAACGUAGCUGCUGUUUGGAUCAGAGCAGCCAAAUCGUAAGCUACAGUUCAGCCGUAAGCUACAGAAUGUAGCUGCUGUUUGGACCAAACAACUGAAUCGUAAGCUACGGCUGAGCCGUAGCUUACGGUGGCAGUUUUGCAAAAAGUUGAUUGUUUUGUUGUUUUUGACCUUCGGGCAUAAAUAGACACGUUAUUAACUCCUCAUAACUAAUAUUUUUGGGUUAUAAACUCAAGUCUAAGCACCAUAUAAUUAAUAUAUGAGUAUGAUGAUCGAAUGCGAGUAGGUUAAUCAAGAAUUGGAUGUAAGUAAAUAUGUGUAGACAUGAUCAUGUAAGCAUGUAGGUAUAUGUGUAGGUAAGUAGAUGUGUAGGUAUGUAGGUGUGUAUGAUUAGACGUAUGAAUAUACAUACGCACGAAGUAGGAUUUGUCGCCUAUGAAAAGAAUGGGACAGGUAUGCAUGUAUACAUGGUUUCAAUACGUUUGAGUACGGACGUUACUAACGAUGUGCUUGAGAUUGGAAUGUAAUGCAGGAAUGAGUGCGUCAGAUUAUGUAGAAUUAAAGCCGAACUCGGAACAUGGGAAUUCGAGAGGAUAGCCGAUUGAAUCAAAGUUUAUGUUAUCGAAUGUUCUAUGAUUUUUAAUCGUAUGAGAUUAUUGUUGUAUGAUGUUGUCAAUGACUAACGGUUAAGUUGUAUGUGAUGUCCACAGGUACUACACGGAUUUCUUCUACCACUAUCGAAGAUAAGCGGACAUCGAUCGAGUCGAAUAGCAAGGAUUGUACGGAAAGAACGGUCACGUAGUUUGAAUUAUGUAUUGCUUUGAAACGUAAUUUAAUGUGAAUAUUGUAAAUCCCUUCCAGGAAAUGUUUAAAUUUGUAUUUGAGCCUUUAUGUAAGUAAUGUGUCUAACAUAGAAAGAAAUUUUAAGGCUCGUAUUUCCGCUGCGUCGUUCUUGAGAUAUUUACGUGUUAGGGUGUUACAAGUUGGUAUCAGAGCCCUGGUUUGAGAGAAUCAAGUAACAGGAGGUAAAUACUUGAACUCAAACCGGUGUGCUCUCGUGACCAAGAACCCGUGCAAUCCAAGACUCGAUCGAGGCCUAAAGGCAAAAGCGAAUGUAAUUAUGUAUUAGAUUAUGUAUUUGAAGGAAACUAAUAGUAUGUUUUGUGAAGGGUAAGCGCAAUUGUUGGGAGAGAUGAUCCGUGAAUGCGGUCUAGGACCGGCAUCGAGGCAAGUAAUGAAACGAAUUGACCCCAGGUACGUAAACCUAAUGUAUGGGCGUAUGAAAUGGUAUGGUUAAGCAAGUGAAAGAAAAAUUUUGAACAAAUUAUGAUAACGACAUGGUAAAUAAGUUUUGAAAAUGUUACACGAGCCAAAACUAAAUUCUUUGGACAUAAGGUGGCAAUUACGCGAAGACACGAAACUAGUACGUGGAAUGUGUACCUGACCAAUACACAAGAAACAUAUGACGUUCGUGAGACCGUGAUAGUUAUUACAGGUAUGUCCGAUAGAGUUUGGUAGCAGCUAGGCGUGUGGGUGAAAUGGGUAGUAAGACUCUUGGGGGAUUGAGAGUACUUUGUAGGAAUGAAAGAUGUGAAUGCAAUGCUUGAAUCCGCGAGACGGAUUCAAGGAAUGAAAUAUGCGAAUGCAAUGCUUGAAUCCGCGAGACGGAUUCAAGGAAUGAAAUAUGCGAAUGCAAUGCUUGAAUCCGCGAGACGGAUUUAAGGAAUGAAAUAUGCGAAUGCAAUGCUUGAAUCCGCGAGACGGAUUCAAGGAAUGAAAUAUGCGAAUGCAAUGCUUGAAUCCGCGAGAUGGAUUCAAGGAAUGAAAUAUGCGAAUGCAAUGCUUGAGUCCGCGAGACGGAUUCAAGGAAUGAAAGAUACGAAUGCGAUGCUUGAGUCCGCGAGACGGAUUCGAGGAAUGAAAGAUAUGAAUGCGAUGCUUGAAUCCGCGAGACGGAUUCAAGGAAUGAAAGAUACGAAUGCGAUGCUUGAAUGCACAGGACGGAUUCAAGGAAUGAAAGGCAUGAAUGAAAUGUUUGAAUCCACGAGACGGAUUCAAAGAAUGAAAGAAGUGAAUGCAAUAAUUGAAUCCGUGAGACGGAUUCAAAACAUGAAAGGUACGAAAAGUAUGAGUAAGGUGUUCGAAUCCGCGAAACGGAUUUAAGAUAUAAAAGACAAAAACUAUUCUACUUAAGAAGAAGUCAAUAGUUUGACCAUGAUUGUGUCACACAAGUCAUAUAAGUAAAUGUAAAGCAAAUGAACAAAAUUAUGAUAGGAGUGAAAAUUUCCGAAUGUGAAGUGAUUACAUACCAAAACAAAUAAAUAUUCCUUAAGUGAUAUGAUCCAAAUUAUGUUUAAACUUUUUGUAUAUUUAUACAUGAUUAUAUUUAUGUAAAUGUGUUGUAAGCAAGAAUGGUAGAAAGGAUAAAUGGGACAUACGGGUCAGAUGGCGACCGCCAUUUGAACUCGGUAGUUAAUGAUUUGAUUUGUCAAGUUUCAUGCUCAUAGGUGAGCUUGAAGAAUGGAGACGCAAUGUCACUAACAGGAAAGGAAUGAUCAUCGUAAGGAUGAAUAACAUAUUUACGGACUCAAGCACGGAGGCUAACGGGUCAAAAGUAAACAUGGAACCUAUGCUUGAACUUGGUCGCUCAAGGUAAGUGAUUCCGUAAUCACUUCUUAGUUGUUUAUGUAAUGUUAUAUGCAAUUUAGUUAUAUGUGAUAAUUGAGGUCGAAUAGGAAUGACUUGUAUGAUGUCAAUGAAGUAUUAAACGGAUUUUAGUUUUGAUCCGAGCAAGGUAGGUGUGAUUAAGAAAUUGUAGCUAAGUAGUGGAAUUGGUUACUUAUGUAAGGAAUUCCUUUGUUAUUAAGGAUAGAGCUUAGUUGACUAAAAUGCCCUUGAUAGGUACUUCGGCCAAACGACCUUAGAAGUCAUUUGGAAACGAGCUAUUCGAUUAGAGUAAUGUCUUGGACAAGUAUGAAAGCGAAGUAUAGGGUUUGGUAUGUCAUAGUCCACUUAAUGCGCAAAUACCCAUAACGGGUCAAAAAUAAGCCUUUGAGCGAAAAUGGGUUAAGAGGAUGCAAGAGGUCCGAGAAUUUAAUCUUUUAUGAUAGGUGCAAUGAAAUUAUUAAGUUCAUAUGACAUUGGGGUCCAAUAAACAGAUUAUGUUGAUAAAUGCACGAACGGGUCAAAUAAUUAGAAACGGGAGGUAAGAUAGGAAUUUCCUUAAAUUGGUUAUGGGAUUCCAAAUCCAUAUGAUAGAAUGUGAAUUUACAAGUAUGUAGGAAGAAACGGGAGGUUAAACGGGUGAACGGUUUGAAAGUUACGGCCGUUUUCGUAAAAAGGACAAAGUUGGAAAAGCUGCAGAGCAGCCAAAUCGGAAGCUACAGUUCAGUCGUAGGCUACAGAACGUAGCUGCUGUUUGGAUCAGAGCAGCCAAAUCGUAAGCUACAGUUCAGUCGUAGGCUACAGAACGUAGCUACUGUUUGGAUCAGAGCAGCCAAAUCGUAAGCUACAGUUCAGCCGUAAGCUACAGAACGUAGCUGCUGUUUGGACCAAACAACUGAAUCGUAAGCUACGGCUGAGCCGUAGCUUACGGUGGCAGUUUUGCAAAAAAAGUUGAUUGUUUUGUUAUUUUUGACCUUCGGGCAUAAAUAGAUACGUUAUAAACUCCUCAUAACUAAUAUUUUUGGGUUAUAAACUCAAGUCUAAGCACCAUAUAAUUAAUAUAUGAGUAUGAUGAUCGAAUGCGAGUAGGUUAAUCAAGAAUUGGAUGUAAGUAAAUAUGUGUAGACAUGAUCAUGUAAGCAUGUAGGUAUAUGUGUAGGUAAGUAGAUGUGUAGGUAUGUAGGUGUGUAUGAUUAGACGUAUGAAUAUACAUACGCACGAAGUAGGAUUUAUCGCCUAUGAAAAGAAUGGGACAGGUAUGCAUGUAUACAUGGUUUCAAUACGUUUGAGUACGGACGUUACUAACGAUGUGCUUGAGAUUGGAAUGUAAUGCAGGAAUGAGUGCGUCAGAUUAUGUAGAAUUAAAGCCGAACUCGGAACAUGGGAAUUCGAGAGGAUAGCCGAUUGAAUCAAAGUUUAUGUUGUCGAAUGUUCUAUGAUUUUUAAUCGUAUGAGAUUAUUGUUGUAUGAUGUUGUCAAUGACUAACGGUUAAGUUGUAUGUGAUGUCCACAGGUACUACACGGAUUUCUUCUACCACUAUCGAAGAUAAGCGGGCAUCGAUCGAGUCGAAUAGCAAGGAUUGUACGGAAAGAACGGUCACGUAGUUUGAAUUAUGUAUUGCUUUGAAACGUAAUUUAAUGUGAAUAUUGUAAAUCCCUUCCAGGAAAUGUUUAAAUUUGUAUUUGAGCCUUUAUGUAAGUAAUGUGUCCAACAUAGAAAGAAAUUUUAAGGCUCGUAUU